UAAGCACUUGAGGCAGCCAGACCC
Molecule: non-coding RNA, 24 nt
Filed under: Mus musculus (house mouse)
Lineage: Eukaryota; Metazoa; Chordata; Mammalia; Rodentia; Muridae
Source: RNAcentral